This 256-nucleotide unclassified non-coding RNA is filed under the name plant metagenome. RNAcentral describes it as "partial contains small subunit ribosomal RNA and internal transcribed spacer 1". The stretch from base 1 to 55 matches the Rfam family "Eukaryotic small subunit ribosomal RNA", at positions 1778 to 1831 of the family's 1831-position model. The record is from RNAcentral.
GGAAGUAAAAGGUCGUAACAAGGUUUCCGUAGGUGAACCUGCGGAAGGAUCAUUACUGAGUGAGGGCCCUCUGGGUCCAACCUCCCACCCGUGUUUAUUAUACCUUGUUGCUUCGGUGAGCCCGCCUCACGGCCGCCGGGGGGCAUCUGCCCCCGGGCCCGCGCCCACCGAAGACACCUAGAACUCUGUAUGAAGAUUGCAGUCUGAGCAAAAACUAAAUAAGUUAAAGCUUUCAACAACGGAUCUCUUGGUUCCG